GUCAAAUCUUUUGCUCCUUCCUCUAAAAAACUGAAAUGACGCUACUGAGUAUGUAAGAAGUGUUAUAAUAUGAAAUAAGCCAUUGCCUAACUCAAACUUAAAGAUGUAAAAAGGUUGGUGGAAGAAAUUACACCAUCUAUUUUAGGUAAGUAAAAAGGGACUAUGUUGCAGUUUACAUGAUGUUUUAAAUUGAGGUAAAAAGGUCAUUUUUGUAGGGGUGUACAUGUAGUGUUACAUGUGAACUUGUAUUUGUGUCUAUGUACCGUUGGAGAUGUCAACAAAUUCUAAGUAAAUUACCAAUAAUUGUUUGCAGCUGCAAGUAUAAUAUCACCUACUGAAUUGGCGUCUUGCGAUUAUUAUUACAAGUCGUUUUUGUGUUUCAAUAUCCAAUAUAAACUCGUAAGUGGUUGAUCACUCCGAAAUAAAAUAUGUCUGAUAAAAAAAAUUGUAUAAUUUUUUUUUCAGAUUGGUAUGUUGCCUGCAGUUUGACCGGUUGGAGCAGUAUCUAUUUAUAGAUAACGAAAUCGAAGAUCAUUGAUUUUAAAUACUCAAUUGCUAUCAAGUCUUAAUUACAU
Cinara cedri is the source of this 575-nucleotide non-coding RNA. NCBI's taxonomy places the organism in Eukaryota, Metazoa, Arthropoda, Insecta, Hemiptera, Aphididae. The record is from the annotation of a GenBank genome assembly.